UACGUAGGUGGCAAGCGUUAUCCGGAAUUAUUGGGCGUAAAGAGCGCGCAGGUGGUUAAUUAAGUCUGAUGUGAAAGGCCGGGGCUCAACCCCGGGACUGCAUUGGAAACUGGCAUGCUAGAGUGCCGGAGGGGCAAGCGGAAUUCCUAGUGUAGCGGUGAAAUGCGUAGAUAUUAGGAGGAACACCGGUGGCGAAGGCGGCUUGCUGGACGGUAACUGACGUUGAGGCUCGAAAGCGUGGGGAGCAAACAGG
This 253-nucleotide ribosomal RNA is filed under the name uncultured Eubacteriales bacterium. Its description in RNAcentral is "uncultured Clostridiales bacterium partial 16S ribosomal RNA". It matches the Rfam family "Bacterial small subunit ribosomal RNA", at positions 524 to 776 of the family's 1533-position model. Lineage: Bacteria; Bacillati; Bacillota; Clostridia; Eubacteriales. The record is from RNAcentral.